AUUGAACGCUGGCGGCAUGCCUUACACAUGCAAGUCGAACGGUAACGGGCCUUCGGGUGCCGACGAGUGGCGAACGGGUGAGUAAUGCAUCGGAACGUACCUUUCAGUGGGGGAUAACGUAGCGAAAGUUACGCUAAUACCGCAUAUUCUGUGAGCAGGAAAGCAGGGGAUCGCAAGACCUUGCGCUGAUUGAGCGGCCGAUGUCAGAUUAGCUAGUUGGUGAGGUAAAGGCUCACCAAGGCGACGAUCUGUAGCGGGUCUGAGAGGAUGAUCCGCCACACUGGAACUGAGACACGGUCCAGACUCCUACGGGAGGCAGCAGUGGGGAAUUUUGGACAAUGGGGGCAACCCUGAUCCAGCCAUGCCGCGUGAGCGAUGAAGGCCUUAGGGUUGUAAAGCUCUUUCAGCUGGGAAGAAAUCGCAUCUCCUAAUACGGGGUGUGGAUGACGGUACCAGCAUAAGAAGCACCGGUAACUACGUGCC
This 483-nucleotide ribosomal RNA is filed under the name uncultured bacterium. RNAcentral's name for it is "bacterial SSU rRNA". It matches the Rfam family "Bacterial small subunit ribosomal RNA", at positions 30 to 509 of the family's 1533-position model. The record is from RNAcentral.